GGUUCGAUUAUGGCUCAGAUUGAACGCUGGCGGGAUGCUUUACAUGCAAGUCGAACGGCAGCACGGACUUCAGUCACGGUGGCGAGUGGCGAACGGGUGAGUAAUGUAUCGGAACGUGCCUAGUAGCGGGGGAUAACUACGCGAAAGCGUGGCUAAUACCGCAUACGCCCUUCGGGGAAAGCGCGGGGGACCUUCCCGGGCCUCUACUUACUAUUAAACGGCCGAUAU
This 228-nucleotide unclassified non-coding RNA is filed under the name uncultured Bordetella sp. Its description in RNAcentral is "partial 16S-23S ribosomal RNA intergenic spacer". It matches the Rfam family "Bacterial small subunit ribosomal RNA", at positions 10 to 236 of the family's 1533-position model. Lineage: Bacteria; Pseudomonadati; Pseudomonadota; Betaproteobacteria; Burkholderiales; Alcaligenaceae. The record is from RNAcentral.